RNAcentral lists this ribosomal RNA (2236 nucleotides) under Escherichia coli. RNAcentral's name for it is "partial 23S ribosomal RNA". It matches the Rfam family "Bacterial large subunit ribosomal RNA", at positions 711 to 2925 of the family's 2925-position model. Lineage: Bacteria; Pseudomonadati; Pseudomonadota; Gammaproteobacteria; Enterobacterales; Enterobacteriaceae. The record is from RNAcentral.
AGACCCGAAACCCGGUGAUCUAGCCAUGGGCAGGUUGAAGGUUGGGUAACACUAACUGGAGGACCGAACCGACUAAUGUUGAAAAAUUAGCGGAUGACUUGUGGCUGGGGGUGAAAGGCCAAUCAAACCGGGAGAUAGCUGGUUCUCCCCGAAAGCUAUUUAGGUAGCGCCUCGUGAAUUCAUCUCCGGGGGUAGAGCACUGUUUCGGCAAGGGGGUCAUCCCGACUUACCAACCCGAUGCAAACUGCGAAUACCGGAGAAUGUUAUCACGGGAGACACACGGCGGGUGCUAACGUCCGUCGUGAAGAGGGAAACAACCCAGACCGCCAGCUAAGGUCCCAAAGUCAUGGUUAAGUGGGAAACGAUGUGGGAAGGCCCAGACAGCCAGGAUGUUGGCUUAGAAGCAGCCAUCAUUUAAAGAAAGCGUAAUAGCUCACUGGUCGAGUCGGCCUGCGCGGAAGAUGUAACGGGGCUAAACCAUGCACCGAAGCUGCGGCAGCGACACUGUGUGUUGUUGGGUAGGGGAGCGUUCUGUAAGCCUGUGAAGGUGUGCUGUGAGGUAUGCUGGAGGUAUCAGAAGUGCGAAUGCUGACAUAAGUAACGAUAAAGCGGGUGAAAAGCCCGCUCGCCGGAAGACCAAGGGUUCCUGUCCAACGUUAAUCGGGGCAGGGUGAGUCGACCCCUAAGGCGAGGCCGAAAGGCGUAGUCGAUGGGAAACAGGUUAAUAUUCCUGUACUUGGUGUUACUGCGAAGGGGGGACGGAGAAGGCUAUGUUGGCCGGGCGACGGUUGUCCCGGUUUAAGCGUGUAGGCUGGUUUUCCAGGCAAAUCCGGAAAAUCAAGGCUGAGGCGUGAUGACGAGGCACUACGGUGCUGAAGCAACAAAUGCCCUGCUUCCAGGAAAAGCCUCUAAGCAUCAGGUAACAUCAAAUCGUACCCCAAACCGACACAGGUGGUCAGGUAGAGAAUACCAAGGCGCUUGAGAGAACUCGGGUGAAGGAACUAGGCAAAAUGGUGCCGUAACUUCGGGAGAAGGCACGCUGAUAUGUAGGUGAAGUCCCUCGCGGAUGGAGCUGAAAUCAGUCGAAGAUACCAGCUGGCUGCAACUGUUUAUUAAAAACACAGCACUGUGCAAACACGAAAGUGGACGUAUACGGUGUGACGCCUGCCCGGUGCCGGAAGGUUAAUUGAUGGGGUCAGCGCAAGCGAAGCUCUUGAUCGAAGCCCCGGUAAACGGCGGCCGUAACUAUAACGGUCCUAAGGUAGCGAAAUUCCUUGUCGGGUAAGUUCCGACCUGCACGAAUGGCGUAAUGAUGGCCAGGCUGUCUCCACCCGAGACUCAGUGAAAUUGAACUCGCUGUGAAGAUGCAGUGUACCCGCGGCAAGACGGAAAGACCCCGUGAACCUUUACUAUAGCUUGACACUGAACAUUGAGCCUUGAUGUGUAGGAUAGGUGGGAGGCUUUGAAGUGUGGACGCCAGUCUGCAUGGAGCCGACCUUGAAAUACCACCCUUUAAUGUUUGAUGUUCUAACGUGGACCCGUGAUCCGGGUUGCGGACAGUGUCUGGUGGGUAGUUUGACUGGGGCGGUCUCCUCCUAAAGAGUAACGGAGGAGCACGAAGGUUGGCUAAUCCUGGUCGGACAUCAGGAGGUUAGUGCAAUGGCAUAAGCCAGCUUGACUGCGAGCGUGACGGCGCGAGCAGGUGCGAAAGCAGGUCAUAGUGAUCCGGUGGUUCUGAAUGGAAGGGCCAUCGCUCAACGGAUAAAAGGUACUCCGGGGAUAACAGGCUGAUACCGCCCAAGAGUUCAUAUCGACGGCGGUGUUUGGCACCUCGAUGUCGGCUCAUCACAUCCUGGGGCUGAAGUAGGUCCCAAGGGUAUGGCUGUUCGCCAUUUAAAGUGGUACGCGAGCUGGGUUUAGAACGUCGUGAGACAGUUCGGUCCCUAUCUGCCGUGGGCGCUGGAGAACUGAGGGGGGCUGCUCCUAGUACGAGAGGACCGGAGUGGACGCAUCACUGGUGUUCGGGUUGUCAUGCCAAUGGCACUGCCCGGUAGCUAAAUGCGGAAGAGAUAAGUGCUGAAAGCAUCUAAGCACGAAACUUGCCCCGAGAUGAGUUCUCCCUGACCCUUUAAGGGUCCUGAAGGAACGUUGAAGACGACGACGUUGAUAGGCCGGGUGUGUAAGCGCAGCGAUGCGUUGAGCUAACCGGUACUAAUGAACCGUGAGGCUUAACCUU